CAAUAGCGUAUAUUAAAGUUGUUGCAGUUAAAAAGCUCGUAGUUGGAUUUCUGGUGGGAGCGAUCGGUCUGGCGCUUAGCGCGAGUACUUGCAUCGUCUCCGGCCAUCCUUGGGGAGAGUCUGUCUGGCAUUAGGUUGUCGGGCAGAGGAUCCUCAUCGUUUACUGUGAAAAAAUUAGAGUGUUCAAAGCAGGCUUAUGCCGUUGAAUAUAUUAGCAUGGAAUAAUAAGAUAGGACUUUGGUACUAUUUUGUUGGUUUGCGCACCAAAGUAAUGAUUAAUAGGGACAGUGGGGGGUAUUCGUAUUCCGUUGUCAGAGGUGAAAUUCUUGGAUUUACGGAAGACGAACUACUGCGAAAGCAUUUACCAAGGAUGUUUUCAUUAA
RNAcentral lists this ribosomal RNA (383 nucleotides) under uncultured eukaryote. Its description in RNAcentral is "partial 18S ribosomal RNA". It matches the Rfam family "Eukaryotic small subunit ribosomal RNA", at positions 592 to 976 of the family's 1831-position model. The record is from RNAcentral.